UUAACUUGUUUGCUUAUUCUCAGAGAUGCCACUAGGAUACAGGAGAGUUUCAGUGCCUCCGGCGGGCGCCCCCCGGAGAAGGGGGGCUGCGGCCCCGGGCUGGGGCCGCCCGCCGAAGCAACGCCUACGGAUGGGUUCGCGAUGGUUUCAAGUAGCCUUUCGGCUUCCUAUAAUGAUCCCUCCGCUGGUUCACCAACGGAGA
This 202-nucleotide unclassified non-coding RNA is filed under the name uncultured fungus. Its description in RNAcentral is "sequence contains ITS1". Lineage: Eukaryota; Fungi. The record is from RNAcentral.